GCGGCCUCUCCGUUCCGGCUCUUCGUAGGCGAUGCCGAUGCCGAGGCUGUGACUGACACUCUCGCUCCCACGCACGCACCGACCCGGACCCACGCCGGGAGCCCGAGCCCUGGGCCCACAACCGCUCUCUCCUACGGCACCGCGCCCACAGCCCGGACCACGGCUCCCGCGCCGCUGCCGUCACCUCGCGGAGAAGGGUCGCGCCGGACCUCGAGCUUGGCGGCCCCCGGCCGGCCAGGAUGGGGAAGCGGGCGGGAGGAGGAGCAGCCGCCGCCGCCGCCUCCGCGUCCUCCGGGGCCCGGCUGGAGCCCGCGGCCGGCCGCGGCGGGGGUCCUCGGAGCGCGGCCG
RNAcentral lists this long non-coding RNA (348 nucleotides) under Rattus norvegicus (Norway rat). Its description in RNAcentral is "long non-coding RNA NONRATT029929". Lineage: Eukaryota; Metazoa; Chordata; Mammalia; Rodentia; Muridae. The record is from RNAcentral.